GUAUCCUACGGGAGGCAGCAGUGGGGAAUAUUGCACAAUGGGGGAAACCCUGAUGCAGCGACGCCGCGUGAGUGAAGAAGUAUUUCGGUAUGUAAAGCUCUAUCAGCAGGGAAGAAAAAAGACGGUACCUGACUAAGAAGCCCCGGCUAACUACGUGCCAGCAGCCGCGGUAAUACGUAGGGGGCAAGCGUUAUCCGGAUUUACUGGGUGUAAAGGGUGCGUAGGCGGGUAAGCAA
RNAcentral lists this ribosomal RNA (236 nucleotides) under uncultured bacterium. RNAcentral describes it as "partial 16S ribosomal RNA". It matches the Rfam family "Bacterial small subunit ribosomal RNA", at positions 334 to 586 of the family's 1533-position model. The record is from RNAcentral.